Molecule: transfer RNA, 62 nt
Filed under: Xya japonica
Lineage: Eukaryota; Metazoa; Arthropoda; Insecta; Orthoptera; Tridactylidae
Also listed under: 1 other name
Description: tRNA-Arg
Source: RNAcentral
AAAUAUGAAAUGAUUAAUCAUACCUAGUUUCGACCUAGUUUUAGGCUGCUUGCCCAUAUUUU